CAUAGUUGUAAACUGUAAGGGUACUAUCUCGCAUACUGUUCACAACAAUCUGCUACGAUGCCUGAAUCAUAUCACAUGUUCUUCGUCAUCACAUUAAGUGGUAGUGUGAGAAUAUUGUAGUUACCCAUUUGGCGUAUUGUAAUGGGUCAAAUCACAAUAUGGUGAAUAGGCGGUUAAGUUAGGUUACAAUAAAAAAUCAGCAUUUUUCUCGAACAAAUUUUUCGCAAAACUAUAAGCCAAGUUGUAGCUAUAUUGUUCAUAUUUCGCAGCGAGAACAGCAAAUCAAAUAGUAACAAUGUGGUGGAACUAUUAGUUUAAACGAAAUUGUUUAUUUAUUGUGCAAUAUGGUCAAAUUAACAGUAUUCUAUAUUGUUUGAUUAUGUUUCAAGAAUUAAAGUAAUUGGUUCAGUUUUCUAUUUUCUAGUAAACAGCUUCCACAAGUAAACGAUUUUCUUGGCGAUAUACAAUGAAUUUGAGCCAUUUUUUAGGCUGUUCAAAUUCAAAUCAUUUUAUUUUAUCGUAAAUCGACAUGAAAAUCAUUUACUUUUGGAAAAUUACUAGAAAAUAGCAAAUUG
Long non-coding RNA from Aedes albopictus (Asian tiger mosquito), 575 nucleotides. RefSeq lists it as uncharacterized. The transcript has 2 exons. NCBI's taxonomy places the organism in Eukaryota, Metazoa, Arthropoda, Insecta, Diptera, Culicidae. The record is from RefSeq and is a predicted model, not a curated record.